RNAcentral lists this transfer RNA (77 nucleotides) under Puniceicoccales bacterium. RNAcentral's name for it is "tRNA-Asp". It matches the Rfam family "tRNA". Rfam says of the family: Transfer RNA (tRNA) molecules are approximately 80 nucleotides in length. The record is from RNAcentral. Lineage: Bacteria; Pseudomonadati; Verrucomicrobiota; Opitutia; Puniceicoccales.
GGGGUAGUAGCUCAAUUGGUUAGAGCGCCUGCCUGUCACGCAGGAGGUCGCGGGUUCGAGUCCCGUCUAUCCCGCCA